UUCAGCUGUGUGAUGAGGAGGAUGGGCAAGUCGUUGGUUAUCUGUCACUGUGUAAUGAAUUAGCCCUAAAUGUAGUGGCUCAAAACAAUAAUUGACUUAAGAAUCUGCAGCUUGAGUAGGGCUUAAUGGGGAGGCUUGUUACUGCUGAAUCACCAUCAGUCGGGGCUGCUUUAGUGGGACAAGGAUUUCCACUUUAGAGAUGGCUACUCACAUGGGUGGCAAGUCAUUGCUGGCUGAGGGCUGGGAGCCUUCUUUUCUUUCUAUCUGGGCCCCAACACAGGCUGCUUGAGUUGCUUCACAGCGUGGUUGCUUGGCUCCAAGAGUGAGCAUCGCAGAGAACCAGACACAGCUGCAUUGACUUUGAGGACCCCAGCCGCAUGCACUGUCACUUUGGCCACAUUCUAUUUGUGGAGUCAGUCACAGAGGCUGAUCUAUGUACAAGGAGAAGGAAUGUAGACCUCAGUUUAUGAUGGGAAAGGUAUCAAAAUCAGAUUGUCAGAAGAGCAAGUGGGAUGGAAGGCAUUGUUGUGACCAUUUUUGGAAAAUACAACCUGCCACUGAGGCUGUCAGAGAGAGUGCAAAGGAGAGAGGAGGUUAUAAAAUAUCUUCCCAGGCUUUGGCUUCAACAUCUCUGAUCUACCGUGAUUCCUAUGGCUUGCUGAGCUGAUGCAGGGAAAUCUCAUGAGAAAGAGCUUUACAAUGGUUCCUGCAUGCUUAUGAGCCCUCUGAAGUUGAUCCUGGGCAGAAAGAAGCCUCAGAGUUACGAAAGAAUAGCAGAAAUACAUCUCGGGAUGGGGGAGAGAGCUGUUAUCUGGAAAGUCCUUGUGCAAAUGAGACCUGAACAUUCCUUUCCCACUGUGGGUGGGUUACAACUUGAAGGAAGCCGUUCACCCAGCCAUCUAAUUUCCCAGAGAUCUUGAUUGCGAAGGACCGUUUGCAGAUCCCAUCGGAGGGGCCCAGGGAUGGAAUAAAGGCAAUUCCAUUGCUCUGUGCAAAUGACAUUUACAACAAUGUCCUUAAAUCAGAGACCUGAAAUGCCUGUCUUAGAUUAUUCAGGCUGAUACUUUUGCAAUCAACCGCAAAAUGAUGGCAAGUCUUCCAGUUGCUCACAGAAAGAAGACUCACGCCUUCCUGCCUCCUGUCUUUGUCUCACACGUGACAUCCAUUUUGUCAGGAAAUAGUGUUGGCUCCACCUUCAGGACGUAUCCAGGCCUCAACACUUCUCACUACCUUCUCUGCUACCCUCCUGGGGUGAGCCAUCCACAUCCUGGAUUACGUCAAUAACUUUCUAACUGCUUCUUGGCCUGCCCCUCCAGCCCAAUCAAUUUUCAACAUGGUAGCCAAAGUGAUUCAUGUAAUAUCUAAGCUAGAUAACGCCAGUCUUUAAAAACCCUGCCAAUACUCCAUUUCAUUCACAGUGAAAGCCAGUGUCUUUAUGAGGAUCUACAUGGUCCAGCCUCAGUGACUGCUCAGACCUCAUCCCCUGAGGCCCUGAUGCUCAGUGGCUCCACCCCACCCCUCCCCCUCCAGCCCCUCCAGCCCCUCCAGCACCCAGACAGCCUCCGACUGUUCUCUGCAGUGCCUGCUUCCUCUCCUUUCCUAUGGUUAUCUACAUACCUACCUUCCUCAGCUCCUUCCAGUCUUUACUCAGUUCUCACAAGCUCAAUAUGACCUACUUAGAGCACCCUGUUUUAAUUGCAACCUGCGCCCACUCUCCCCACCACCCUCCUUCAGCAGACAUUCCCCAUCCAUAGUAAGCUUUCUUGACGUUUUUUUAACCCUAGAAAUCAUCACCUUCCAGCAUACUAUUUUUUCAUUUAUUUACUAUGCUUGUGUUUGUCUUCCCUCAAUCCUUCCCUCCCCUACACACAUUAGAAUGUAAGGUUCGUGUGGGUAGGAUUUUUAUUUGUUUUGUCCACUGUUGGAUCACAGGUCCAUUGAAAAGGGUCUGGUAAGUGGUGGCACUCUCCAAGUUUGUUGAAUGAAUGAAUGAACGCAGCAAUUCCAUGCCUUCUCAAUACAGCAGAUCACUUUGAAAUCCAGGGAGAUUCAGAGUUUUAAUUUGAAAAGGGGUGGUCAGUGGAUUCUUAACCCACUUGUUGGUUUUACUCAGCUCUGGAGUGUGUUUUGUCAUAUUCACGUAGAAUUUAGAUGUAAUUUUAAAAAUGGCAUCACUGGGGGCCCUCCCAGUCGUGCAGUGGUUAAGUUUGUGCACUCUGCUCGGGGACCUGGGUUUCACAGGUUUGGAUCCUGGGCGCAAACCUAGCACCGCUCGUCAAGGGACACUGUGGCGGCAUGCCACAUGAAAUACAGGAAGAUCGGCACAGAUGUUAGCUCAGGGCCAGUCUUCCUUACACACACACACACACACACACACACGCACAACAUCAUCAGGAUUUUUCCCCCUCUGAGAAAAAGAGAUACUCAAAUAUUCAGGGGACAGUCAUACUCUUGGUGAUCAAACAACUUGCACCACACUUUGGUUCUCUUAGGAAUUCCUGGAUCUGUCAUUCUCCACAUUAAACAAGCUAUUUCAGCCCUGACGUGCUCGGUGCAGGGUAUUUGAGAUAACUUGACUCUAUCGCUGAGAUAUGCCAGCCGAGUCAGCCACCCGAAGUCAUAGCAAUCGUCUUCUCUGGCAUUAUCGGUGCCAUGAAAAAACUGCUUUUAUCACAUCUUUCAUUUUGAAGACUUGUGUGUGCAUCUUUCUCAUUGGAAAACAGAAUUGUGUAUCUUGCCCAUUUCUUCAUGUAGAACACUAAAAGGGUGUGCACUCGGGUUGAAAUGAUCAAAUCCAUAUUUUCUUCAAAAAAGAAUCAAGAUCAGGAAAUAAAAUUUACCCCAUCUCGCCUCUAAGAAUACAGCAAAAUGAGGAUUGGUGUUUAAAUGCAAAUUCUUGCCUGAUCCAACACACCGAGGGGGUGUUCCAGUGGGCAUUUAAAACAAAGCUUUUUAGUUUGUUUAGGUUUUGAUGCUGCCAAGAGUGCCUUUAAUUAGUUUUUAACUUAUUAGCAAAAGGAAGAUGAUUGAUUUUGAUAGCUGUCCUCUAAACCAGAACCUGCUUUAGCUCUUUUAACGUUUUUGGAGUAAAGAAAGAGAAAAAUAUGUUGGUGAUGGCUUUGCAAUGUAAAUGAAAGGAGAGACAAAAAGGAACCAGCCCUCCUGAACUCAUAUUCUGCUUUUUCUGUGAAAACGUUUCUGUAAUUCCUAGCAAUUCUCUCAAGACUGGAGGAUAAAGAUUGCAUUGUCGAUGUAAUAGUCUCAAUUAGUAAAAUUGACAAGAAAAUACUUAUCUCUUUAUGUUGAGUGACAGGAAAACACAACUUAGGGAAUUUGUCACUUCUGAUUGAACAGCAUCACAUUUUAGUCUUACGUAUUUGUCUCAACCUGAUUAGUUCACAGGCGGGUUUUUGUUUAGCUUCCUGGAUCAUGAAUAUUCUGAAUUCUUAGCUUUUCUUAUCAGCAAAGAAAAGCAAUUUAUAACAUGGGGCCUG
Molecule: long non-coding RNA, 3494 nt
Filed under: Equus asinus (donkey)
Lineage: Eukaryota; Metazoa; Chordata; Mammalia; Perissodactyla; Equidae
Description: lncRNA (ENSEASG00005038296.1)
Source: RNAcentral